GUCUGCUUGAAGAUAUAAGAAGUCUAGCCUGCUCUCUGAUAAGUUUAAGGGCCGCGGUAAUCUGACCGUGCAAAGGUAGCAUAAUAGUUAGUUUUUUAAUUGGAAUCUUGUAUGAAUGGUUGGACAAAAGAAAUACUGUCUCUAUAACUUUAUUUGAAUUUAACUUUUAAGUGAAAAGGCUUAAAUAUAUUAAAAAGACGAUAAGACCCUAUAAAGCUUUAUAAGAAAUUUUUAUUUAGUUAAUGUAAAUAAUAAAAUCUUAAUAUUUAGUCUUAUUUUAUUGGGGAGAUAAAAUUAUAAUUUAAUGUAACUGAGUUUUAGUGAAACAAAGAUAAAUGUUUGUAAUAGUUAAAAGAUCCUAAAUAUGGAUUUUAAGUUCAAGUUACUUUAGGGAUAACAGCGUUAUUUUUUUUGAGAGUUCAUAUCGAAAAAAAAGAUUGCGACCUCGAUGUUGAAUUAAAAUUUCUAAGUUAUUGCAGCAGUAACUUUAGAAGGUCUGUUCGACCUUUAAAUUUUUACAUGAUUUGAGUUCAGACCGGCGUAAGCCAGGUCGGUUUCUAUCUUUUAAUAAAAAAUAAAUUAUUUUAGUACGAAAGGAUUUAAUAAUUAAAUUUAAUUUUUAAGGUUUGAAUGUUAUUUUGGCAGAGAUAUAUGUGUAGGA
Molecule: ribosomal RNA, 661 nt
Filed under: Austinixa sp. 2 EPT-2008
Lineage: Eukaryota; Metazoa; Arthropoda; Malacostraca; Decapoda; Pinnotheridae
Description: partial 16S ribosomal RNA
Rfam family: Bacterial large subunit ribosomal RNA
Source: RNAcentral